GUCCCCGUAGCUCAAUGGACAGAGCAGUAGCCUCCUAAGCUACUUAUAUGGGUUCGAUUCCCAUCGGGGACA
Molecule: transfer RNA, 72 nt
Filed under: Elusimicrobiota bacterium
Lineage: Bacteria; Pseudomonadati; Elusimicrobiota
Description: Elusimicrobia bacterium (hot springs metagenome) tRNA-Arg
Rfam family: tRNA
About the family: Transfer RNA (tRNA) molecules are approximately 80 nucleotides in length. Their secondary structure includes four short double-helical elements and three loops (D, anti-codon, and T loops).
Source: RNAcentral